RNAcentral lists this long non-coding RNA (1165 nucleotides) under Anas platyrhynchos platyrhynchos (common mallard). Its description in RNAcentral is "lncRNA (ENSAPLG00000020186.1)". The record is from RNAcentral. Lineage: Eukaryota; Metazoa; Chordata; Aves; Anseriformes; Anatidae.
AAGGGAUGUUGUGGUGAGGGCAGUAACCCUGCCAGGAAAACAAAGUUAGUCUGCUUGGGGUGCCCAUCCUUCAACCCCAUUGAACUAAGGGCUGAGGAAGAAGAAAGUGUUUCACUGUAAAUGGAGAUGUCAGGACAAACUGUCACUGCAAUCACUAUACUACCAAUUAUUCAAGACAGACUCUGUUGCUAGGGUCUGGCUGAGAAAACACAUGGAACUUCUUCCCAGUUUUUAUCUCCACUAUCAGCUUGCCCUGUAAAGAUAUCUUCAUCCUGCUUUGUCUCCCCACUUUACUCUUCUUGUAUUUUUCUUCACAGUGUCUCCCUGAAGCCUUUUCCUCAUCCUGGGCUACUAAUCUCUGAGAUGAUAAACCCAGGAGAUGAAGUUUUUUCCUGCUGUGGCAGUCAGUUACAUUUUUUGUUCUUGUUCUGUCAGUUCUUCCAGCCUCACUGAUCUCCUCUGAAACACACAGGGCAGAGGACAGUAAAGAAGAACAGAAAGAGGGAGAAGUGAAGUCAUUGCCCAAUGCAGAAGAAGGCUCAAGUUACAUCUUUAGAUGGGAAAACUAUCAGAGGGACAGAGUACAGAACAGCCCACUAGAUGACACAAGAUGCGGCCAUCUGACAAAGACUGGGGAUGGACCUGGGCUUUCUGUUCUAAUAAUCACAAGUGCCAGUAACAGGACAGGAAGAGAGACUCAAACAUAAAUAAAUUAAUUAGCAAGGACAUUAUUUAUACACUGGGAAUUUCUAGUGUAUGUGGUGUCUGCUCUAAUAACCCACGGACAAAUCACCUCUUCUUGCUAUAACACCUCAGGGAGAGGACCAGAAGAGAAAGACAACCAUAAGUUUUCAUCUAAAGGAAAAAGGAUAAGAAGCAGCUUGAAAAUCUGCAGGGAAAGAUCCUGCAUAUUCAUAAAGAGCAGAACAAUCCAUAUGGACACCUGCCCCUCACAACGGCUUCUCUUGCUCCUGGCUACUAUUGUUCCAGAGUGAUCUGCAGUUAAUAUCAACAGGACUGUGGUACAUGGGCAUUUGAGUGCUCCAAGCUUGCUUUUUCCUAAUGCAACAAAACACAAAUGGCUGUGAAACUUUUUGGAGAAAAGAUUGACUUCAAGGAGCUCAACAAAAAUAAAAAGUCUCUUCCUUGCUUAUGUAUCCUUUGU